UAAAACGUAGGACGCGAGCGUUAUCCGGAUUUACUGGGCGUAAAGCGCGGGCAGGCGGCGGUCCAAGUCGGACGUGAAAGCUCCUGGCUCAACUGGGAGAGGUCGUUCGAGACUGGGUCGCUAGAGGACGGUAGAGGCAUGUGGAAUUCCGGGUGGAGUGGUGAAAUGCGUAGAGAUCCGGAGGAACACCAGAGGCGAAGGCGGCAUGCUGGGCCGUAACUGACGCUGAUCCGCGAAAGCCAGGGUAGCGAACGGGAUUAGAAACCCCGGUAGUCCUGGCCGUAAACGAUGUUCACUAGGUGUUGGGGGCCAACCCCGCAGCGCCGGAGCAAACGCGAUAAGUGAACCGCCUGGGGAGUACGGCCGCAAGGCUA
RNAcentral lists this ribosomal RNA (374 nucleotides) under uncultured Anaerolineae bacterium. RNAcentral's name for it is "bacterial SSU rRNA". It matches the Rfam family "Bacterial small subunit ribosomal RNA", at positions 521 to 896 of the family's 1533-position model. Lineage: Bacteria; Bacillati; Chloroflexota; Anaerolineae. The record is from RNAcentral.